GCCGAAGUGGUGGAACUGGUAGACACGCAGUCUUGAGGGGGCUGUGCUUUACGGCGUGAGGGUUCGAGUCCCUCCUUCGGCACCA
RNAcentral lists this transfer RNA (85 nucleotides) under Gammaproteobacteria bacterium. RNAcentral describes it as "tRNA-Leu". It matches the Rfam family "tRNA". From Rfam's summary of the family: Transfer RNA (tRNA) molecules are approximately 80 nucleotides in length. Their secondary structure includes four short double-helical elements and three loops (D, anti-codon, and T loops). The record is from RNAcentral. Lineage: Bacteria; Pseudomonadati; Pseudomonadota; Gammaproteobacteria.